Molecule: ribosomal RNA, 468 nt
Filed under: uncultured bacterium
Lineage: Bacteria
Description: partial 16S ribosomal RNA
Rfam family: Bacterial small subunit ribosomal RNA
Source: RNAcentral
GACGAACGCUGGCGGCGUGCUUAACACAUGCAAGUCGAACGGAAAGGCCCUGCUUUUGUGGGGUGCUCGAGUGGCGAACGGGUGAGUAACACGUGAGUAACCUGCCCUUGACUUUGGGAUAACUUCAGGAAACUGGGGCUAAUACCGGAUAGGAGCUCCUGCUGCAUGGUGGGGGUUGGAAAGUUUCGGCGGUUGGGGAUGGACUCGCGGCUUAUCAGCUUGUUGGUGGGGUAGUGGCUUACCAAGGCUUUGACGGGUAGCCGGCCUGAGAGGGUGACCGGCCACAUUGGGACUGCGAUACGGCCCAGACUCCUACGGGAGGCAGCAGUGGGGAAUAUUGCACAAUGGGCGGAAGCCUGAUGCAGCAACGCCGCGUGCGGGAUGACGGCCUUCGGGUUGUAAACCGCUUUCGCCUGUGACGAAGCGUGAGUGACGGUAAUCGGUAAAGAAGCACCGGCUAACUACGUG